Molecule: long non-coding RNA, 373 nt
Organism: Heteronotia binoei (common prickly gecko)
Lineage: Eukaryota; Metazoa; Chordata; Lepidosauria; Squamata; Gekkonidae
Exons: 2
Source: RefSeq, a predicted model, not a curated record
GUGUCUGUGGGUUAGGAAAGCAAACAAAAAGAAUUAGAAACAGCCCCCCCCCCCAUUCUAUUGUUGAGGGUGCUGUGGAGUUAACUACAUGGAUGCAUACAAAAUAAAGUUUAUACUAAAGAGAAACUAUGGGGGAAUGACCACAAUGAGGGAGAUUAGAAUAUUUGUGUAGACUAAUCACAAGGAAAUUAGUGCCUUUUAGUUGAUGCACUAAUUUAAUGCAAAAAAAGUAAGCAUUAAAUGGGGGCAAAUUUUGGGAAUGAGGUGCAGACUGCUUUAGCUGUUGGCAGUUCUUCUGUGCUCCUUGGUGGAAGUUGGCCCAGGAAAAGGUUCUGCCAUGCCUGUUUUGUAAAUACACUGGAGCGGAGGGGGG